UACGUAGGGUGCGAGCGUUGUCCGGAAUUAUUGGGCGUAAAGAGCUCGUAGGCGGUCUGUCGCGUCCGUUGUGAAAACUCGAGGCUCAACCUCGGGCUUGCAGUGGAUACGGGCAGACUAGAGUGCGGUAGGGGGAGACUGGAAUUCCUGGUGUAGCGGUGGAAUGCGCAGAUAUCAGGAGGAACACCGAUGGCGAAGGCAGGUCUCUGGGCCGCAACUGACGCUGAGGAGCGAAAGCAUGGGGAGCGAACAGG
This 254-nucleotide ribosomal RNA is filed under the name uncultured bacterium. Its description in RNAcentral is "partial 16S ribosomal RNA". It matches the Rfam family "Bacterial small subunit ribosomal RNA", at positions 524 to 776 of the family's 1533-position model. The record is from RNAcentral.